Molecule: non-coding RNA, 29 nt
Filed under: Mus musculus (house mouse)
Lineage: Eukaryota; Metazoa; Chordata; Mammalia; Rodentia; Muridae
Source: RNAcentral
UAUUUGUAUAUAUUGUUCCCACCAGAGAA